RNAcentral lists this ribosomal RNA (468 nucleotides) under uncultured bacterium. RNAcentral describes it as "partial 16S ribosomal RNA". It matches the Rfam family "Bacterial small subunit ribosomal RNA", at positions 28 to 507 of the family's 1533-position model. The record is from RNAcentral.
GAUGAACGCUGGCGGCGUGCUUAACACAUGCAAGUCGAACGGUGAAGGCGGAGCUUGCUCUGCUGGAUCAGUGGCGAACGGGUGAGUAACACGUGAGCAAUCUGCCCCUGACUCUGGGAUAAGCGCUGGAAACGGCGUCUAAUACUGGAUACGAGCUGCGAAGGCAUCUUCAGCAGCUGGAAAGAAUUUCGGUCAGGGAUGAGCUCGCGGCCUAUCAGCUUGUUGGUGAGGUAAUGGCUCACCAAGGCGUCGACGGGUAGCCGGCCUGAGAGGGUGACCGGCCACACUGGGACUGAGACACGGCCCAGACUCCUACGGGAGGAAGCAGUGGGGAAUAUUGCACAAUGGGCGAAAGCCUGAUGCAGCAACGCCGCGUGAGGGACGACGGCCUUCGGGUUGUAAACCUCUUUUAGCAGGGAAGAAGCGAAAGUGACGGUACCUGCAGAAAAAGCGCCGGCUAAGUACGUG